AAACCAAACACACCAGUGAAGCCGUGUUGGACCCCCGGACCAGAGCAGCCGCCAACUGAAUUUGUGACUUCGGUCGUGCCAUGUGGAACCGAAGAAUUACCCAGCUGACCCCAACCCAAACUCCUGACCUACAGAGUUGUGGCUCCGCGCUGAGCCCCGGCGAACAUCACAGAUUAGCAUCCCAGGCUCUCUCGUGGGUGAGCCUCCUGCUGUGAGGCGGGAGGUCCUGUCCUGCCUGUGCCAGCUGGGGAAGGAGACUUAGAAGCCCGCCGUCUGCCAGACAGACAACCACCAGCCUUUCUGUUUUCAGUCCUGCCCUACACCUCGGUCUUUGGAGGUUCUUGGUCUCUCUCAUCCCUGAGCCUUUGAUCUCCAGUUGUCUUGUGUCCUGAUGGCUCCCCUGAACAGUCAGGGUUCAACUUUCUGGGUUUCCCAAGUCAGCCUACCAUCUGUUUUCCAGCUUCGAGAGUUUGGUUGACUGUUCUCAUCUGCUGUGAGUUCCUCACAUGGUCUCUUUGUCCCAGUGGAGAGGUGUGCAUUUUUAAAAACGCUUUUAGGUCAUUUUAUUAGAAUUUCAAAAACAUUGGAGGCGAAUAAAUGUGUUCAGUCUGCCAUGUUUAA
This is a long non-coding RNA of Leopardus geoffroyi (Geoffroy's cat), 621 nucleotides long. RefSeq lists it as uncharacterized. The record is from RefSeq and is a predicted model, not a curated record. The transcript has 2 exons. Lineage: Eukaryota; Metazoa; Chordata; Mammalia; Carnivora; Felidae.